AUGCUCUGGUUUCUCUUCAGAUCGUAUAAAUCUUUCGCCUUUUACUAAAGAUUUCCGUGGAGAGGAGCAUUACGAGUUUUUAAACUAAUUUUUUGAGGCUCUAUUUCGGUAGAGCU
Molecule: small nuclear RNA, 116 nt
Organism: Callorhinchus milii (elephant shark)
Lineage: Eukaryota; Metazoa; Chordata; Chondrichthyes; Chimaeriformes; Callorhinchidae
Gene: U5
Rfam family: U5 spliceosomal RNA
About the family: U5 RNA is a component of both types of known spliceosome. The precise function of this molecule is unknown, though it is known that the 5' loop is required for splice site selection and p220 binding, and that both the 3' stem-loop and the Sm site are important for Sm protein binding and cap methylation.
Source: Ensembl